Molecule: ribosomal RNA, 440 nt
Filed under: uncultured bacterium
Lineage: Bacteria
Description: partial 16S ribosomal RNA
Rfam family: Bacterial small subunit ribosomal RNA
Source: RNAcentral
CCUACGGGGGGCAGCAGUGGGGAAUAUUGCACAAUGGGGAAAACCCUGAUGCAGCGACGCCGCGUGAGUGAAGAAGUAUUUCGGUACGUAAAGCUCUAUCAGCAGGGAAGAAAAUGACGGUACCUGACUAAGAAGCCCCGGCCAACUACGGGCCAGCAGCCGCGGUAAUACGUAGGGGGCAAGCGUUAUCCGGAUUUACUGGGUGUAAAGGGAGCGUAGACGGCAGGGCAAGUCUGGAGUGAAAUCCCAUGGCUUAACCAUGGAACUGCCUUGGAAACUGUGCAGCUAGAGUGCAGGAGAGGUAAGCGGAAUUCCUAGUGUAGCGGUGAAAUGCGUAGAUAUUAGGAGGAACACCAGUGGCGAAGGCGGCUUACUGGACUGUAACUGACGUUGAGGCUCGAAAGCGUGGGGAGCAAACAGGAUUAGAUACCCCUGUAGUC